RNAcentral lists this ribosomal RNA (422 nucleotides) under uncultured bacterium. RNAcentral describes it as "bacterial SSU rRNA". It matches the Rfam family "Bacterial small subunit ribosomal RNA", at positions 430 to 853 of the family's 1533-position model. The record is from RNAcentral.
CUUCUUUUAUUUGGGACGAAAAAAGGGAAUUCUUUCCCACUUGACGGUACCAGAUGAAUAAGCACCGGCUAACUCCGUGCCAGCAGCCGCGGUAAUACGGAGGGUGCAAGCGUUAUCCGGAUUCACUGGGUUUAAAGGGUGCGUAGGCGGGUAGGUAAGUCAGUGGUGAAAUCCUGGAGCUCAACUCCAGAACUGCCAUUGAUACUAUCUAUCUUGAAUAUUGUGGAGGUAAGCGGAAUAUGUCAUGUAGCGGUGAAAUGCUUAGAUAUGACAUAGAACACCCAUUGCGAAGGCAGCUUACUACGCAUAUAUUGACGCUGAGGCACGAAAGCGUGGGGAUCAAACAGGAUUAGAUACCCUGGUAGUCCACGCCCUAAACGAUGAUUACUCGACAUUUGUGAUACACUAUAAGUGUCUGAGCG